UUCCCUCCUUGAAUAAGUUGUCCAAUACAUCAGGUAUUUGUCAGUGUUACAAGAUACAAUUACAGUGUCAAUGGCAGGUUACCAGGGAGAGCGCUGGGUAGAACUGGGUUGUAGAGCACAUAUCUCAACCCAAACACUCAUCAACACAGAGGUGGAUACUGGGGCGGCAGGUAGCCUAGUGGUUAGUGGUUAGAGCAGGUAGCCUAGUGGUUAGAGCAGGUAGCCUAGUGGUUAGUGGUUAGAGCAGGUAGCCUAGUGGUUAGUGGUUAGAGCAGGUAGCCUAGUGGUUAGUGGUUAGAGCAGGUAGCCUAGUGGUUAGUGGUUAGAGCAGGUAGCCUAGUGGUUAGUGGUUAGAGCAGGUAGCCUAGUGGUUAGUGGUUAGAGCAGGUAGCCUAGUGGUUAGAGCAGGUAGCCUAGUGAUUAGAGCAGGUAGCCUAGUGGUUAGUGGUUAGAGCAGGUAGCCUAGUGGUUAGAGAAGGUAGCCUAGUGGUUAGAGCAGGUAGCCUAGUGGUUAGAGCAGGUAGCCUAGUGGUUAGAGCAGGUAGCCUAGUGGUUAGAGAAGGUAGCCUAGUGGUUAGAGAAGGUAGCCUAGUGGUUAGAGCAGGUAGCCUAGUGGUUAGAGAAGGUAGCCUAGUGGUUAGAGCAGGUAGCCUAGUGGUUAGAGAAGGUAGCCUAGUGGUUAGAGCAGGUAGCCUAGUGGUUAGAGAAGGUAGCCUAGUGGUUAGAGCAGGUAGCCUAGUGGUUAGAGAAGGUAGCCUAGUGGUUAGAGAAGGUAGCCUAGUGGUUAGAGCAGGUAGCCUAGUGAUUAGAGCAGGUAGCCUAGUGGUUAGAGAAGGUAGCCUAGUGGUUAGAGCAGGUAGCCUAGUGGUUAGAGCAGGUAGCCUAGUGGUUAGAGCAGGUAGCCUAGUGGUUAGAGAAGGUAGCCUAGUGGUUAGAGCAGGUAGCCUAGUGGUUAGAGCAGGUAGCCUAGUGGUUAGAGAAGGUAGCCUUGUGGUUAGAGCAGGUAGCCUAGUGGUUAGAGAAGGUAGCCUAGUGGUUAGAGAAGGUAGCCUAGUGGUUAGAGCAGGUAGCCUAGUGGUUAGAGCAGGUAGCCUAGUGGUUAGAGAAGGUAGCCUAGUAGUUAGAGCAGGUAGCCUAGUGGUUAGAGAAGGUAGCCUAGUAGUUAGAGAAGGUAGCCUAGUAGUUAGAGCAGGUAGCCUAGUGGUUAGAGCAGGUAGCCUAGUGGUUAGAGAAGGUAGCCUAGUAGUUAGAGCAGGUAGCCUAGUGGUUAGAGAAGGUAGCCUAGUAGUUAGAGAAGGUAGCCUAGUGGUUAAAGCAGGUAGCCUAGUGGUUAGAUCAGGUAGCCUAGUGGUUAGAUCAGGUGGCCUAGUGGUUAGAUCAGGUAGCCUAGUGGUUAGAUCAGGUAGCCUAGUGGUUAGAGCAGGUAGCCUAGUGGUUAGAUCAGGUGGCCUAGUGGUUAGAGCAG
Long non-coding RNA from Oncorhynchus tshawytscha (Chinook salmon), 1465 nucleotides. The record is from Ensembl. NCBI's taxonomy places the organism in Eukaryota, Metazoa, Chordata, Actinopteri, Salmoniformes, Salmonidae.